RNAcentral lists this ribosomal RNA (497 nucleotides) under uncultured bacterium. Its description in RNAcentral is "bacterial SSU rRNA". It matches the Rfam family "Bacterial small subunit ribosomal RNA", at positions 903 to 1397 of the family's 1533-position model. The record is from RNAcentral.
AAAGGAAUAGACGGGGACCCGCACAAGUAGCGGAGCAUGUGGUUUAAUUCGAAGCAACGCGAAGAACCUUACCUAAGCUUGACAUCCCAUUGACCGCAGGGUAAUGCCUGCCUUCCCUUCGGGGACAAUGGAGACAGGUGGUGCAUGGUUGUCGUCAGCUCGUGUCGUGAGAUGUUAGGUUAAGUCCUGCAACGAGCGCAACCCUUGUCUUUAGUUGCCACCAGGUAAUGCUGAGCACUCUAGAGAGACUGCCGAGGACAACUCGGAGGAAGGUGGGGAUGACGUCAAAUCAUCAUGCCCCUUAUGCUUAGGGCUACACACGUGCUACAAUGGCUAUUACAAAGGGUUGCCAAGCCGCGAGGCGGAGCCAAUCCCAUAAAAAUAGUCUAAGUUCGGAUUGCAGGCUGAAACUCGCCUGCAUGAAGCCGGAGUUACUAGUAAUCGCAGAUCAGAAUGCUGCGGUGAAUGCGUUCCCGGGUCUUGUACACACCGCCCGU